Molecule: ribosomal RNA, 253 nt
Filed under: uncultured bacterium
Lineage: Bacteria
Description: partial 16S ribosomal RNA
Rfam family: Bacterial small subunit ribosomal RNA
Source: RNAcentral
UACGAAGGGGGCUAGCGUUGCUCGGAAUCACUGGGCGUAAAGCGCACGUAGGCGGCUUUUUAAGUCAGGGGUGAAAUCCUGGAGCUCAACUCCAGAACUGCCUUUGAUACUGGGAAGCUUGAGUCCGGAAGAGGUGAGUGGAACUCCGAGUGUAGAGGUGAAAUUCGUAGAUAUUCGCAAGAACACCAGUGGCGAAGGCGGCUCACUGGUCCGGUUCUGACGCUGAGGCGCGAAAGCGUGGGGAGCAAACAGG